GCCUGGGUGGCUCAGUCGGUUGAGCAUCCGACUUCGACUCAGGUCAUGAACUCGCGGUGUGUGGGUUCGAGCCCCGCGUCGGGCU
Felis catus (domestic cat) is the source of this 85-nucleotide transfer RNA. It matches the Rfam family "tRNA". Rfam says of the family: Transfer RNA (tRNA) molecules are approximately 80 nucleotides in length. Their secondary structure includes four short double-helical elements and three loops (D, anti-codon, and T loops). Further hydrogen bonds mediate the characteristic L-shaped molecular structure. tRNAs have two regions of fundamental functional importance: the anti-codon, which is responsible for specific mRNA codon recognition, and the 3' end, to which the tRNAs corresponding amino acid is attached (by aminoacyl-tRNA synthetases). tRNAs cope with the degeneracy of the genetic code in two manners: having more than one tRNA (with a specific anti-codon) for a particular amino acid; and 'wobble' base-pairing, i.e. permitting non-standard base-pairing at the 3rd anti-codon position. NCBI's taxonomy places the organism in Eukaryota, Metazoa, Chordata, Mammalia, Carnivora, Felidae. The record is from Rfam.